CUACGGGUCGCUGCAGUGGGGAAUAUUGCACAAUGGGCGCAAGCCUGAUGCAGCCAUGCCGCGUGUAUGAAGAAGGCCUUCGGGUUGUAAAGUACUUUCAGCGGGGAGGAAGGGAGUAAAGUUAAUACCUUUGCUCAUUGACGUUACCCGCAGAAGAAGCACCGGCUAACUCCGUGCCAGCAGCCGCGGUAGAUACGGAGGGUGCAAGCGUUAAUCGGAAUUACUGGGCGUAAAGCGCACGCAGGCGGUUUGUUAAGUCAGAUGUGAAAUCCCCGGGCUCAACCUGGGAACUGCAUCUGAUACUGGCAAGCUUGAGUGUCGAAGAGGGGGGUAGAAUUCCAGGUGUAGCGGUGAAAUGCGUAGAGAUCUGGAGGAAUACCGGUGGCGAAGGCGGCCCCCUGGACGAAGACUGACGCUCAGGUGCGAAAGCGUGGGGAGCAAACAGGAUUAGAUACCCCAGUAGUC
This 465-nucleotide ribosomal RNA is filed under the name uncultured bacterium. Its description in RNAcentral is "partial 16S ribosomal RNA". It matches the Rfam family "Bacterial small subunit ribosomal RNA", at positions 339 to 795 of the family's 1533-position model. The record is from RNAcentral.